RNAcentral lists this ribosomal RNA (441 nucleotides) under Triticum aestivum (bread wheat). Its description in RNAcentral is "partial small subunit ribosomal RNA". Lineage: Eukaryota; Viridiplantae; Streptophyta; Magnoliopsida; Poales; Poaceae. The record is from RNAcentral.
AUGGAUAGGUAUUCUACCAAACCCUGUAUUUUCGAUGGUGUUGAUUUUCAGUUCUGGAAGGCGAAGAUGAAGGCAUACAUCAUGGCGCAAAGUUACGCCAUCUGGGAGAAAGUCGCCAAGCCCUAUGUGCUUCCCGCAGACGAUGCGACCACGCCAGCAAACUUGGUUCAUGUGGAGAACAACUACAAGGCGAGGAACUUCAUCAUCCAAGGUCUACAACGGAGUGACUUCGACCGUGUCUCUCACCUUGCAUCCGCUCAUGAGGUAUGGAACGCACUUUGUAGCUAUCAUGAAGGAUCAAACUCAGUUAAGGAAGUGCGUCAGGACAUGUACAAAAAGGAGUACAUGAGGUUUGAGAUGAAAACAGGUAAAUCUUUGGAUGAAUUUUUUGCUCGCUUUAAUAAGAUUCUCAGCAAUCUACGUGCAUUAGGUGUUACCUAU